This 253-nucleotide ribosomal RNA is filed under the name uncultured bacterium. RNAcentral's name for it is "partial 16S ribosomal RNA". It matches the Rfam family "Bacterial small subunit ribosomal RNA", at positions 524 to 776 of the family's 1533-position model. The record is from RNAcentral.
UACAGAGGGUGCGAGCGUUGUCCGGAAUCACUGGGCGUAAAGGGCGCGUAGGUGGCGCAACAAGUCAGUGGUGAAAGCUCGACGCUCAACGUCGAGUCGGCCACUGAGACUGUUGGGCUUGAGCACUGUAGAGGCAGAUGGAAUUCCCGGUGUAGCGGUGGAAUGCGUAGAUAUUGGGAGGAACACCAGUGGCGAAGGCGGCUCACUGGACCGGAACUGACGCUGAGGCGCGAAAGCGUGGGGAGCAAACGGG